This 224-nucleotide non-coding RNA is filed under the name Butyrivibrio hungatei. RNAcentral describes it as "T-box sequence". It matches the Rfam family "T-box leader". Rfam says of the family: Uncharged tRNA acts as the effector for transcription antitermination of genes in the T-box leader family. Lineage: Bacteria; Bacillati; Bacillota; Clostridia; Lachnospirales; Lachnospiraceae. The record is from RNAcentral.
AAAUAGACGUUGAAGAGGAAUAGUAGCUUAGAAUAAACGUCCCAGAGAGAGAGCAGUUGGUGUGAAGCUCUUACGAUAAAAAAGCGAACCAGCCUUGGAGUCCUGUAUGAAAGCGUUUGCAUAAGUACAGCGUGUCCCGCGUUAAGGGUGAUAAUGAAGUGAAAUCUGUUUUGAAUGUAAACAGAUUUAAAUAGGGUGGUACCGCCGAGUCUUCGGUCCCUGUU